This 467-nucleotide ribosomal RNA is filed under the name uncultured bacterium. RNAcentral's name for it is "partial 16S ribosomal RNA". It matches the Rfam family "Bacterial small subunit ribosomal RNA", at positions 28 to 506 of the family's 1533-position model. The record is from RNAcentral.
GACGAACGCUGGCGGCGUGCUUAACACAUGCAAGUCGAACGGAAAGGCCCUGCUUUUGUGGGGUGCUCGAGUGGCGAACGGGUGAGUAACACGUGAGUAACCUGCCCUUGACUUUGGGAUAACUUCAGGAAACUGGGGCUAAUACCGGAUAGGAGCUCCUGCUGCAUGGUGGGGGUUGGAAAGUUUCGGCGGGUGGGGAUGGACUCGCGGCUUAUCAGCUUGUUGGUGGGGUAGGGGCUUACCAAGGCUUUGACGGGUAGCCGGCCUGAGAGGGUGACCGGCCACAGUGUGACUGAGAUACGGCCCAGACUCCUACGGGAGGCAGCAGUGGGGAAUAUUGCACAAUGGGCGGAAGCCUGAUGCAGCAACGCCGGGUGCGGGAUGACGGCCUUCGGGUGGUAAACCGCUUUCGCCUGUGACGAAGCGUGAGGGACGGUAAUGGGUAAAGAAGCACCGGCUAACUACGU